Molecule: ribosomal RNA, 253 nt
Filed under: uncultured bacterium
Lineage: Bacteria
Description: partial 16S ribosomal RNA
Rfam family: Bacterial small subunit ribosomal RNA
Source: RNAcentral
UACGUAGGGUCCGAGCGUUGUCCGGAGUUACUGGGCGUAAAGCGCGCGCAGGCGGCGGUGUUGGCCCGGCGUGAAAGCCCCCGGCUCAACCGGGGAGAGUCGUCGGGGACCGCACCGCUUGAGGGCGGUAGGGGCUGGUGGAAUGCCUGGUGUAGCGGUGGAAUGCGUAGAGAUCCGGAAGAACACCGGUGGCGAAGGCGGUCUGCUGGGGUAAUGCUGACACUGAUGCGCGACAGCGUGGGGAGCAAACAGG